GCAUAACGCGAAGAACCUUACCCACCUUUGACAUGUACGGAAUCCUUUAGAGAUAGAGGAGUGCUCGAAAGAGAGCCGUAACACAGGUGCUGCAUGGCUGUCGUCAGCUCGUGUCGUGAGAUGUUGGGUUAAGUCCCGCAACGAGCGCAACCCUCGCCAUUAGUUGCUACAUUUAGUUGAGCACUCUAAUGGGACUGCCGGUGACAAACCGGAGGAAGGUGGGGAUGACGUCAAGUCCUCAUGGCCCUUAUAGGUGGGGCUACACACGUCAUACAAUGGCUGGUACAAAGGGUUGCCAACCCGCGAGGGGGAGCUAAUCCCAUAAAGCCAGUCGUAGUCCGAAUCGCAGUCUGCAACUCGACUGCGUGAAGUCGGAAUCGCUAGUAAUCGUGGAUCAGAAUGUCACGGUGAAUACGUUCCCGGGUCUUGUACACACCG
Molecule: ribosomal RNA, 438 nt
Filed under: uncultured bacterium
Lineage: Bacteria
Description: bacterial SSU rRNA
Rfam family: Bacterial small subunit ribosomal RNA
Source: RNAcentral